This 117-nucleotide ribosomal RNA is filed under the name Danio rerio (zebrafish). Lineage: Eukaryota; Metazoa; Chordata; Actinopteri; Cypriniformes; Danionidae. The record is from RNAcentral.
AACAAUAACAAUACAAUAACUCUGCAACUCUCACAUGGUCGCUCACUAAAGCUAAGCAGGGCUGUGCCCGGUCAGUACCUGGAAUGGAGACUAUAUGGGAAAGGUGGGUUUCUGCUG